This is a long non-coding RNA of Hylaeus volcanicus, 9412 nucleotides long. RefSeq lists it as uncharacterized. The transcript is spliced from 6 exons. Lineage: Eukaryota; Metazoa; Arthropoda; Insecta; Hymenoptera; Colletidae. The record is from RefSeq and is a predicted model, not a curated record.
UCUAAGAUCGUCGAGAUUGGUGAUCCGCCGCAUGCAGCGCCAAGUUUCCGGCCCGCAUCCAUCUAGGCUAAGUGAGUAAGUAAGGAGUAAACAGCAGAGAGAAUAACGUCUGGUUAAAAGCGCAAGUUUCUGAACGUAUAAUAAAAGGUGUGUCAAGGACAGAAAAGGUAUGUGCAACUAUUAAAAUAAAUUCAAUUAAAUAUAUGAAGACUUUCAUUUCAGGACUUCACCUAAACAUAGGGAAGCUACAAUCUACCCUUACAAGAACCUAUCAAGAGCCUACGAACACCUGUGUAAUGGGCUCAAUUGUUUUCUCAACAGGCAACUGGCGGUUGAGAACGACGAUGGCGAUCAACUAUUGACCUCUAUCAGGAGCCAAGGAACCUCUCGACCAGCCCCUCGGCUGUCCCUAGGUCCACGAAGACGUAGGACGUAAAGUCAGGGUUAAGCUCUGUGGGCACCGUGAAAGCCUGCCUGCUAAAAAUAGUCCCGGACCGUUCUAAAAAUAGGGCCCCGAACACGUACGCCGUUUAUUCGUACGUACACCUCGAGCAAGCCAAACCGAGGGAUAGAAUGCACCUUGGUGCGGGCAUAGUCUUGCACAGUAUGACAUAUCGGACCGACCGUUUUCAUUCUGCGAGACACGGACGCCUCUCUGCCACCGCGCGAGACCGCGAUGAAUGAACGAGUACGCGCCGUACUCUUGGACGUGUACGUGGCUUCCGUGCGUGCACGGUCUUUUGCUGCCUGGGCGCAUGCCUCGCGUAAUAAUAGCCACCGACGAUUUUGGAUAAGCAGCUUUACCCCGUAAUGGAGCCGUAUCGAUCUGGAAAUGGACGAGAUAAAAACCGUUGCUUCGUAGCCAGGCUCGGGAUUAAUUACAUUAGGCCUUUCGCAAGGGACUGUGGAAUAUACAAUGACAGCGAGACGUGCAGAUGAACCCUAUUCGUCAUAAUAGUAGGGGGACCAGAAUGUAAUGUCGUUUCUGCGAAUGUCGAUACUUGUUUAUCAUUUAUCAGCUCAUUUUAUACCAAUCGAUUUUUAUCGAUCAGAUAUCGAAAAUCUGCACACUGGAUAACAAAAGGUUGUUGAUAACGAUGGCGAUUACGUAAUUGAUUAAAAAUAAAAACUUGCUAUUUUAUCUGUUUAAAUUUAAUGUAAAAGAAACGACAUUACUUUCUGGUCAUACUAAUAUCAUGGUGAGACGUACAUACAUGCGUGAAGUUGCUAAAGAAGGCUACUCGUUGUAAUAUAAGCGAAAUGAGGUAGUCAGUUCGGUUCAGUUCUUUUAUUAAAGUGAGUAAGUUUGAAAUUAUCAAAGUUAUUUCACUUACAUCAUGUUUUUUAAUACAUAUAAUUUUUCUUAACUUACAGGUUACGCACGUCUCUCAUCGCGUGGGAUCCAUUCACUUCUUCACUCCGAUAUACAAUCAACACACUCACGUCAUCCACGCUCUAAAUUUAACAUUUUAUGUAAAUGAGGUAGUCUUACGGAAUAGCGAAAUGGAAUAGUCCUAUAGAGAAGUACAGAACCUCGGUUGAAUUUUCCAUCAACAAAACAGAAUACCACGGAAUAUAUUACAGCGAGACAUCCACGGGCAAAGUAGCGGAAGAACGCUAUUCGUUAUAAUACAGGCGAAAUGGAACAGUCUAAUAGAGAAGUGCAGAGUCUCGGUUGAAUUUCCCAGCAUCAAAACAGAAUACCACAGAAUUUAUUAUAACGAGACAUCCACGGGCAAAGUCGCGGAAGAACGCUAUUCGUUACACUACAAGCGAAAUUGAACAGUCCGAUAGAGAAGUGCAGAGUCUCAGUUGAAUUUUCCAUCGACAAAACGUUAACCCAGUAAUUCGUCUUCGUCUGUGUACACCAGACGACAAUAACGCGCAGUUCAUUGGCGUUUUUGAGACGAACGGAGGAAUUUUCCCGAGGACACGCGCGUGCCUUCGGUAGCCGGAGGGCUCAAGGUAUUAUUAAUAACGACGCAUUCUAAAAAUACACCCGAAAUAUGUGUGACGCCGGUGCAAGUAAGAUGCACUUGAAUGCAGUCGAACCGAGAGGGAGAAUACACGCCAAGGUGUACGAGGUACGCAUUCCAAUGGGCGGGUUAUCAGAGACGGAUCCAUCCCACCUUCCAUGCUUGGAAUGCAUCUCUGGUCUUUUUUCUUUCUCUCACUUUGAGGGCUUAAGGCUCGUUCAUACUCGCGGCUGGUACACGCUCGAAAAACGUGGACGCCGAAAACAGGGGAGGGAAACGGGCCUAGCGGUCAGUGACACCGGUUUUAAUCGGACCGAACGAGAGGGAACGCGGUUCCAAAGAAAUAUGUCACCGAUACUUUCGCGUUCUCUUCGGACUCGCUCCCGUUUCGUCGUCCAUUUUAAUGUAGCCACGAGUUCCUACGAUCGAAUCACCCUGAAUCGUUCCUGUAGCAUAGGAAUUAAUAGAGAAAGCUAGUUACGAAAUAUCCAGAGGAAUAUCUUUGAAAAUAAAUGAUAUUAAAUUCAUAUAAUAUAGUACUUUAAUGCUUCAGUAGCUCCAGCUUCCAGCUACGGUGCAUAUAUCGGAAAACUAGGCGAUUCUAGAUGCUGACGUAUCCAACGCAUUCGUGGAUACUGGCAGCAUCAUUCUAAUUAUAUUUCUCGAUUCGUCGGAACUUUGGAUGGCCGCGAAGACGUCAACGGUCUUUGUUGUCCUAAGGUGGAGUGGAAGAAAUAGACAGUGACGUCAGGUCGAAAUUAUUGGUCUACGAUCGACCUGGCCUUAUCUCUUCGAACCAGCUGGACGGGCGCCGUUCACGUGCAUGAUGUGUAACAAUACGAUACGCGUCGAAUGGUAAAGCUCCUUCUACGGAAGGCUGACUAUCCAUGACGUCGAUGCCUCGAGAGUUUCAGAUGCUCCGCAAUUUUUCGCGACGAUAUCGCGUUGGCAGCCGAGAAGGAUGCUUAUGAGAGGUACACUCGGUUCAAAUGAGCCUGUCCAUGGCACCACAGACGCGAGGUAGGUGUAGGGUUUCCGAUUGGUAGGGUACACGUCAUCAAUCCGAGCCUAACAAGUGGAAGCCUCGAGUCUCCCUCGCAUCUGCGCCGGUGCGGAUAAUAUCAAUCAAGUUCAAUCACAAAGAGACCUUUUAUAAGCUGCCAACUCAGAGACAACCUCUGCGGCGGUAGUUUUUAACCUGUGCGGUUCGGGACCAGGAAACCGAGGUCAACGGAUGUGUCAAAGCGGGAUUCGGUCCUUGGAGGUGUCGCGAUUAGGCUCGAUGACACAUUCCGUCCGGAAGAAUGUCGAUGAGAGCCACAAAGAGUCCUUGUGCUGACCCAAGAAUCGAACUCAAGACUCUCCGGUCGGUCUCGUCGAUGACGCCGUAGGAACGCCGGGAAUGAGCUCACCUCGCUUCAUCGUCAGCUGAUAAAGAACCGAAGGAGUGGAGAUAAUCACUUUUGUUCGCGCUAUCUUCGAUAAUCUACACCAAAGGAACAUAGCACUUGAUAGGAUAUCUUAGAACGAGUUACCGAAGAAUAUUAGUUAUACGUACAUGGGUUAGCAGUAAAAGAUGCGACGAAUUUCAAGUUCGCGUAACGUCGUAACGUAGGGGCGAUUACGAGACGACGGGGGUGUCGUGUUACCCACGAAUUCACGAGGCGCUACUCUACCAACGACCAAACAUACGGGAGAAGACUGAUUUCUGGUUCGACUUUUGGCAAAUUUCCCACAACUGCCUCCCACUGCGUCCCUCCUUCAUUCCCGAAAUCGAAUCGGCAUUUACGAUGGCGCUCCUAAAUCUUCGACUCCGUCAUCGAGAUACAAUUUCACUCCGCCUCGUCUGGCUUUUCUCGGUUCGGCGAUGCUGACAACGCGAGAGAACCACCGAUAACAACCGUUCAGAUAAUGUUCAGUUCCCGUAAAUAACGCGCGCGAAGACGAAACAUUUCUCGAUCCGCCACCAUUCGGGGCAGGGGUUCUCUCGAUGGACCUCGAGAUCGCUAGGUCGAAGCAUUUUCGGUGAGGCUCGUUAUUUUCAUGAAGUUGUUCUGACUUUUCAAUAUUUCAGGAUCGAGAGGAGUUCAUUACGAUCGCUGUAGCUAUAGCAAAGUAAAGGCGUAGAUAGAUCUCACCACAAGACCUCGAGGUCUAGACAAUUUCAAGAAGCUUCAGACUAUGCGCCCGUGUACGCGAUAGCCGAAACAAGCAAAGUCCAGUUCUGAUGGCGUGACAGACGCACACGUGCUUCAAUUAUAACGUAUUUAGUUAUGGUUAUCAUUUUCAUGAAGUAAGUCUGAUUAUUCAAUAACCCAUCGUUGAAAGCGUCAAUUACAAUCGCUGUAGUAAAGAAAGAGGCUAGGUGGAUCGCACCACAAGGUCUCGAGGUCUAAACAUUUUCAAGAGCUUCAGAUUAUUUUCACGAAGUAACUCUGACUUUUCAAUAUUCCAGAAUUGAAAGCGUCAAUUACAAUCGUUACAGCAAAGUAAUAGCUAACCCUAUUGCUUUAUAUUUUCAAUAUUUCAGUAGCGAUCAAGACCUCGUCCUACCGGAACCAACGACCAGCAGCGACGUCAUGGAAUUUACGGGCGAUAAGACGGAUUCCUCGGAUCGUAAAUAUCGCUAAGAAGCGAUCGUUAUAGCUGGUUGUUGCAGAGAGCGAAAAAGAACGCGGGAGGAGGGAUGAAAGGGCGCUCGCGACGCGGUGGAGUAAUCGUGUAAAAUAAAAAGAGAGUUGCGUGGCGUCGGGAAAACGGUAAAAAAGACGGUGUAGUCGGGGAGAGGACACGGUGAGAAAUAAAAGCGAUAUUUUUAUAUCCACGGGUGUAAGCUCGUCGGUGGCGGACGCCACCGGGCCUCGGUCUCUAUUAAUAUCCACGGGCCGGGCUUCCUUUCGGCCUCCGCAGCAAUUCUCUUCGCACAGGCGGACCAACGAUCGGCCACCGGAAAGAGAGCCUCCCGAUCGGGGAAAAAAAAAUUCCGCCGUCCAGCUUCCGCGAAAUCCCAACUUGCGCGACGCUCGCAGAGGAAGGACUCCACCUGUUCUCCAAUUUCAACCCAGUUCUGCAGGACGGCUCGUUGCUGUGGGUGCAUCAUUAAAUGCUGUAACUUGAUUCUUAAUACACAGGUCUCCUUGUGGAUACAGUAUUAAAUGCAAUAACUUGGUACUUUUAGAUAAAUAAGUAACUAAGGGGGUAUUUUAAUUUAGAGCGUCAAUUUUUAGUUCAAAGAAUUUUAUAAAAGGUUUUGCACACAUGCUUAUUCGCAUUUUAAGAACGUACACGAUUCUUUUUCAGGUAAAAAUAAUUAAAAAUUAAACGUAGCACGAGUGCACAACAAAAAUAGUACAAGAAAAUUCUAUGGCAGAUAUAUUCUUAAGGGUGUACACUUUGAGAAAAUGGAAAAUCGACAUUUUGAAAGUUUCAGACUAGAAUAGCCACAUAAAGUAACAUGCCUUUGGACUGUAUGAACUAUAAACAGUCAAGUAUCCAUAACGUAGAUAGUAUAAACAGGCAAACUACUUGGACGAUAUACAUGUGCACUAUGUGAGUAAAACGAUUGAUCAGCAUACUCCUAAAGAAAAAUUAGUUUGAUAUCCUACAUAAGAAAUAGAAGCUUCCACGCUAAUCCAACUUGCAGAAUUAUCGAUAAACGAAUCAAGAGCGAAGAGCCAAAACUUGUUGUGCCAAUAAAUCAACUUUCAACAUUGCGGUAUUGGUCGCUCUAAAAUACCAACAAGGAAGGAACGACCGGCUCCCCUCGACGCGAUACAUUUAUCGAGUAAAUAAACUGGCCAACGAACAAUGUCGAGCACUUUUAUCGCGAAGUUGUCGACGUCUGCGCCCACGAUUGCAUGCCGCUGUGUCCUUGACUGCAUUUGCAUUUGCUCGCAAAAGGCGGACACUGUUCGAACAAUUGAAAAAUCGUGUUCGCCGCGACGAAAAACUGGUACCAGCCGUUUACAUAUGCAUACGGUCGACGUUCGAAGAAUUCACGACCCAAGCCGAACGGAAUUUUAUGACGAGUACAGGAUAUGCCAACGUUCUAUAAACAAUUACGUGGAAAUAAUCGUGAUGUGACUUUUGCAAUUGAAUGUUAAUAUAAUUUGGAUUGCAAUUCUUCUUCGACAAAUAACAAUGUAAGAUUCAUCUUUUAAACCGCAUGUGUUAUCACGUGCCAAAGUAAUUUUAGUACCGUGCGCAACGGAGUCACCGUGGUCCCUUCUUUCAAAAUGUGUAUCUUCAGAAAAUGCGGGCCAAGACAGCCACAGGAGCUCGUUGUAUCCAUUAGCCAAACACCGAUGUUACAAUUACUUUACAUACUGGGUGUCUUGCUCCAUCGGAACUCGAUUUUCAAUCCUUCGGUCACCAAAUUCUGCAAUGUUUCUUAACUGUUCCAGGUCGUACGAGUGGCUCGGUAUACCGUGGCGUAUACCAUGCAUCGAACAAUUCAAGAAUGAAAUAUUUGUUCCUCUUCAACAACACCGUUUGGGAUGCACGCGUGCCUGCGAACGCCUGACAUCGCGGCCUUUGCGCCACUUCGAUUACUAUGUCAAGUUUAGAACGAUUUAUUGUUCGCAGAUAAUUCAUUCGCUUCUUUUUUUUUUCUAUGGAACGCUGAAAACACGGAACUUUGGCCAACGCGUUUCGCAAACUAUGCAAUUACGCCGAUAGCGUGGUUACGGCACACGCAUCGAGGAACGCGAUAACCACUCUCAAGAACAGAGAUAAUCGAACGUUUUAUGUGUUCCAACCGAUAUCGACGAAACUGGUAAACACAGAGGUGCGACACUCACCGUGAACAAAUUUCAACGUUUUAUCCUAAUAAUAAACGAAUAAAAACGUUGAAAGGUAAACGUCCCGAUCCUCGACACGUUUCGCAAUCGUCGUUGCAGUGGAGUGCAACGAAAACUGUAAUCAAUGAUUGAAUCGAAAUUAAUUAAGCCUAGGUUAUAACUUUAUAUGUCUAGUUUACAACGAUUUUUCCGCGAUAGUUGCACAGAUAAACUAGAUAAGAGAUUUGCCUAUCUCCGUUGCCAGGGGUCUCGACGAUUGCCAAGCCGCGGAUGGAGUUGCCAGGCAUUCCUCGACGGCCACCCUCCAUCAUCGAACCAACAACAGUUGAUAUUAAUUUAUUAGUCGAGUGUAAGAAGACGUGCGUUUCAGACGAGAAUUUGUUGAAUCUUUGUCGUGGCAAAGGUGACAAACUCUUAAAUGAAUCGAGUGGACGACGCUCAAUUUUCUCCGCUUCGAUUCAGAGUUCGAUGAACAACAUCCCGACAAAUGCGGCCUUCGUGGAAAGCCGUAGCGCCCCGUGGUGGUCUUUUUGUAUCGUUCGGCAGAAUUACGACGUUGCACUCGGUGCAGUGCAGCCGGCGACAUCCUGCGCCGGAUUCGAAUUCGCGGACUGCACCCGCUUCUACAGGCUGGACCAAAAUACACGUGCCAAAUGUUUCUCGUAAAUGUAAAACUUCCACACUUACGACCCAUGCUACAUGAUCGACAGCCGUAACUAACCGAGAAAUGCCUUCUCUUUCGAAAGAUACAGUGAAAUACACAUAACAGUCGCUCGAAAUUUGUACAGCGGCCUAUAAGAGCUCCGUAUACACUGUAAUCUUACACCACCCAAGUGAAAAAUAUCGCCUGGCCGCGAAACGUGCCGACAAUUGGUACAUUUACCUUAUAUCGUUUAAUUUGGGACGUUGUGUACGCCGCUCGUAAACAAAUCGGCCAUGCAACUCGGUCGAGCAACGAUUACGCUUCUCGUGUGCAACGAGCCACGAAAUCGGGGGCCUGGGUAGACAUAAACAGAAUUCGCGAACGGUGACUCGACGGCGGACGGCUUAUUUUCGAUAAUGACGAAAAUAUCGUUCCCGAUACCGAGGAACGCGCGCUUAUCCUCCUCUGCUCCACGGGUUUUCCUUGUACCCAUAACUUUUCGCGUUGCAUUUCGAAAAACACGCAUACGGAACGCGCGUCCCCCUCGGGCGACGUUUCUUUUAAUAGAGGCCGUCCUCCAAAACAUAUUUACGAAAGUUUGUUUCUAUGUUUAGCAGGGAACGGUGUACAUAAUUUACUUCGAAUCCGUUUCACGCGACGAGCGAUACUUCAUUUUUCAACGGCGAUACGGUAAAUCCGUUUUCAUCCCACGCUGCCUGGCAAAAUCCCAGCUAUUGCCACAUUCGUGUGUUAACCUUUAUCGGAAGGAAGUCCCUCCUUCAGAUAGGCGCGGAGGUAUUUUCGACCGAGGUUGGGGCUACCUGUUGGUGGCGAUCGUUGCGUAACGUUGUUGAUCUUAGCCCUUCCGUGAAAAUCAGACUCGGAAAAUCAGAAUCGGGAUUAUUCUCCCGAUAGGAAUUAUCUGGAAUUAUCUUUCAACAAGGCGGGAAAAUCAUCGAGAUUGGGGAAGGAAGCUACCAUCUAUUUAUAAUAAAUCAAGUGUUGUUAAUGGAGUCGAAUACUUGUGAAGGCAAGAAUGUUACAAUUGACGAUACCCGAAAGUAUAAAUCGCAUACGAAUUUUUGAGCCACUCGCAUGGAUUAGUUCACGCGGCGUCUGCUAGUGUCGCAAGUAACAAAUUAUUCCAAAAUGGAAACGCCAUUAAUCUACAUUAAUCCUGAUUAAUUCUUCCAGGUCCUUCAUCGUGUACACAUGUAACAGCUUCUUCCUAAUAUAUCCCAAUUAUUUUAAUGCACGGAGAUAUGAUCUGUUGGACUAUUCGAAGGUAUUGGCUGAUUUUUAAUUUGAUGUGUUCGAUAGUAUCUUUAAAACUUUGAACUAAGCAAAUCCCUCAACGACAACGGUCAUUAAGCCAUCGACUCGGGGUACCUACGUAUUAGCUUGCAGCUGGUGAAUUAUCGGUGAUUCGUCCCUCGAGAAUGAGACCAGUAAUUGGUCUCGUUAAAAGUGCAUUCUCGAGUGAAAUUUCCAGACGGUCCACUUCUGUCAGUGAUUCAAAAUCGAAGUAAACGAAAAGUAUUUGUAGCCCAAUGUCCAACUCUCUUUCAACAUUUUAUACGUUUCUUAUUGUAUAUUUCUAGAUAUUCCUCUGCUGAGAAGGCUGAUACUACAGACGAAAACUCGAUCGACAUUUGAAGUUUGCCUUACGGCAACAAUAUACAUCUGUAUUUAUAUGCAGAGUUUUGAAUGCGCCUAUAAUAUGCUGUAUUAUGCUGCAUCAUGAUAUAAUAUGAAUAUACACUAAACUUGUUCCAAGAUGAUAGCAUACGAAUGCAUAAUAAGCUUGUCCUGCGACAAUAUUGUCCUCUUGAGGGACGAAUUCUUAAUUUUUAAGUUUUGAUUGCUUACAACAAGAACUUUGUAUAGUUUAUUUUAUUCAAAGUAUAACAACAAUGCAGACUGUAUAUAGAGUAAGCUCUCUUGCUAUGAUAUUGUAUACUUUGUAAUUCUGCACUAAAAGGUAUUAUGAUAUU